UCCAAACACAAACAAGGUGUAGUAAGUUGUAAUUGUAACCCAGUUUGUGAACGACUCACUGGCACCCUUAUUAGAAAAACGUUAAAUCGGUUUCUCUGAGUUGGUGGUAAUAAGAUGAGGUAAAUCUGUAUAUAAGAAAUCAAAAAUGGCGACGGAUCUCAAAAUCAGGGUGAUUCAAAAACCAUAGGCUGUAGUACAAGAAUCAAAGAAGAACCAGCGAAACUUAUUAGGAAACCUCAAAACCCUAAUUGGCAUCCUUCAUUCGCAUCUAGUAGCUGCAAUUUUGUUGGAGAAGGGAAUAAUGAUGGAGAAUUUGAGUUUAGAUUUGGUAUUUGAAAUACUUAAUCGAUUACCAGUCAAAUCAUUCUUGCAAUGCAGAAGAGUAAGCAAAAUCUGGCGAAAUCUAUUGGGGAAAUCAAAGACAGGUAUGUUUUUCACUAAAAAACCUAUAUAUUGCUAUGAUGAUUGUAAACUCCAUUAUAUAGAACAAUUUUCUGAGAUGUUAGUAAAUUCAAAUUGUACCCAAGAACAACCACAAAAUUCAAAUUGUACCCAAGAACAACCACAAAAUUUUCACAAGACUGUUACAGAGAUAGGCAGUGUAUUUACUCGUAUUUAUCCCUUCAACUUGAUUGGUUCUUGCAAUGGUUUGGUAUGUUAUGAUACUUGGGAGCCCAAAUUCGGUGUUGUUAUCUACAUUGUCAAUACCAUCAAUAGUGAACCUGUCCGUUUUCCUCCUGAGAAGCCUACGAGUACUUUUCCUCUUCAGUCUUUUGUUUGUGCUGGAUUCAGUUAUUGUCAUUCCAGUGAUUCCACAGAUUAUAAAUUGGUUAAGACUUUUUACCUUGGUACCGAUGGCAAGUGACACAUCCAAGUUUGCACUCUUGGUGAUAGCAACGGGUGGAGAGACAAACCAGAAAUUAGCUAUAAGUUCUCGAAAUCGGGUGUUUUUGCUAAUGGGGCUCUGCAUUGGUUAAUUAAUGUUAGAAGAUCUAAGUGUGAUACUGUAGCCUUUGAUUUAGCAUAUGAAACAUUUCAACAUCUUCCGUCACCUGUUCGUCAUUUUCCUUCCAAUUCCUCUAUAUAUUUUUUUAUUUUUCCAAUUCCUCUAUUAGUGUUACGCUUGAAGGGGAUCUUUGUUUGUGUCUUCCUGACAUAAAGCAAGGAGAACCUAUGAUGAAUGUAUGGGUAUUCAAGAAGAAAAAUAUCAACAACUGCCGACGUAGUACUCGCUUGAAAGCACGUAGCUACAUUAACUCUUUUACUUGGAUCAAGGUGUUCAGCAAUAAAUUGGAUUCAGGCUCAAAGUGCCAGCUAUCAUCCCUCACUGCGACUGAAAUUAUACUAUAGCAAAAUGGCGUUAUCUCUUGUUAUGACCUUAAAGCUACAACUUCAACGAAACUAUGGUGUACUGAAGGCGCAAAAGGUUUCAAUGAGAAAUUACCAAAAGGACGAAGAAACUCAAAAUCAUGUCAACUUCGAUAGUAAUUGCUCUGCUGCAUUAGUGUUUUGUAAGCUGAAUUCACUGUAAUGUGAUGAAGCAGAGUUACAUCGACAAAUAGAUCUCGAGGAUGUAAUUGCAGAAAGUCUCAUAUGGAUGAUGAGUAUGUAAAUGCUAAUCAAAGGGAUCCAACGAUUUUGAUUACCAUCUUUGUAGCUUCUCCUCCUGUAAUUCUUGUCAACUUCUGUAGCAGGGUAAACUUAUCCUCAUGUGAAACUUAUUGUCCUGUAAUUCUCGACAUGGUUAUUUAUGUUCUUUUCUGUAUGAAGAGGUGCAUCAUAUUUACUGGUUGAUUUUGAUGAUAGUUAGGUGAAAAGACAGGCUAUAUCUUAAAGAAUUUCGUUAUAGUGUCAAAACCAGAUUUAAAGCGCAUUUUUCAAGAGUUGUCUUUCUGCAAGUCUGGUAAAGAAUUUUGUAGACAAUAUUCUCCAAACCAGUGCUACUUACAUAAAAUAUAAAAUUUUGUCUUACUUUUGUGUCACCAUUGGAUCGUUGAUAGUCAUCAGUACAUUAUGUUUACAUAUCCCGAUAUGCGUGGCCAAAAUAAGUUAAAAGUAAAGCAUGUAGAUAAGUUUUUGGUCUAUUUACUAUUGGUAUUCGAGGUUCUGGUUCUUUUUUGGUUGAACUGUUGUUACAAAUGUAUUGAUCUUGAAUGCAGUGGGACUAUCUUGCUUCAGGUUUGAUUUUGUUCGUGGAUAUUCAGGCAUCAUGUCUAUGACAAACCUGGGGGUCCCAAAUCAAUCAUUGUAGGAAGUUGGCCAACGUUUUGAAUGAAGGCUUUACCAGGCUUAGAGAUUGUCAAUGUUUUGCUCAAGUGAGACUGCACCACAUCUAUUGCUUGAAAAUUGUUUAUUUGCUCCCUUAAGAUUUCUGUUGUUCAUGAAAUGGCUGCCUUUGGCUCUCGAUAUCUCUUUCCCGUUUUUUGUUGUUGUGGUGUAUCAGAUCAAAUUAGGAGCAGUUGAUCAGAAUGAAGCCCCUACAGAGUUUGUCGUGCGGCCAUAGAUACCCAGAAACAAAAGAUUCUCGGAGAAUGAGAUGAUUGAAGAACAACCUGAAUGUCACAAGCUAGUGACUAGGAAGGUUGUCUUUGAUUGCCAAAGAGUGCAACUGGUGUGUUUCAAAUUUUGAUGUGAUUGAGCAUCCUGGGAAACCCCGGAAAUUCUAGUUUUGGUCUGUCCCGCCUCGUACAGAUGUGGGGCCCCUUGACCUGUGGUUUUUUCUGUCAUGUGGGUUCUUACAUAGAACAGGAUGAACCUACGAGGGAUUUAUGGGUACUCAUGAAGAAAAAUAUGAACAGCCUAUGUUGUGAAGGGGCGCCAAGAUGUGCACAAUGUUUUUUUCCACAGGUGCCCUAAGCGCUAGACGAGGGGCGCCAAGAUGUGCAACUGGAUGUGGUACUCUUUCGAAAGCGUGCACCUACAGUAACUCUUUUUACAUGGAUCAAGGUGCUCAAAAGAAAAAUUGGAUUCAGGCUCUAAGUGCCAACUAUUAUCGUUAACGGAGACUGAAAUUUUGCUUUGGCAAAAUGGCGCUCUCUUGUUGUAUGACCUUAAAUCUACAAUUUCAACGAAACGAAACUAUAGUGUACUGAAUGUAUAAAAGGAUUAUGAUCAAGCAACGUUGAAAGAUUUUGGAGAACUCCAAAGAG
RNA transcript from Papaver somniferum (opium poppy), 3149 nucleotides. RefSeq lists it as uncharacterized. The record is from RefSeq and is a predicted model, not a curated record. The transcript has 4 exons. NCBI's taxonomy places the organism in Eukaryota, Viridiplantae, Streptophyta, Magnoliopsida, Ranunculales, Papaveraceae.